GAUGAACGCUGGCGGCGUGCCUAAUACAUGCAAGUCGAGCGAACAGACGAGGAGCUUGCUCCUCUGACGUUAGCGGCGGACGGGUGAGUAACACGUGGAUAACCUACCUAUAAGACUGGGAUAACUUCGGGAAACCGGAGCUAAUACCGGAUAAUAUAUUGAACCGCAUGGUUCAAUAGUGAAAGACGGUUUUGCUGUCACUUAUAGAUGGAUCCGCGCCGCAUUAGCUAGUUGGUAAGGUAACGGCUUACCAAGGCGACGAUGCGUAGCCGACCUGAGAGGGUGAUCGGCCACACUGGAACUGAGACACGGUCCAGACUCCUACGGGAGGCAGCAGUAGGGAAUCUUCCGCAAUGGGCGAAAGCUUGGCGGAGCAACGCCGCGUGAGUGAUGAAGGUCUUCGGAUCGUAAAACUCUGUUAUUAGGGAAGAACAAAUGUGUAAGUAACUAUGCACGUCUUGACGGUACCUAAUCAGAAAGCCACGGCUAACUACGUG
This 497-nucleotide ribosomal RNA is filed under the name uncultured bacterium. RNAcentral describes it as "partial 16S ribosomal RNA". It matches the Rfam family "Bacterial small subunit ribosomal RNA", at positions 28 to 507 of the family's 1533-position model. The record is from RNAcentral.